This 1088-nucleotide long non-coding RNA is filed under the name Eucalyptus grandis. Its description in RNAcentral is "long non-coding RNA (EGRA_LNC005416)". The record is from RNAcentral. Lineage: Eukaryota; Viridiplantae; Streptophyta; Magnoliopsida; Myrtales; Myrtaceae.
GCAAAUCUUUGUAGGUUGAGCAGACUAAGUUUUCACUCUAUAAAUAGGAGUGGCCUUUUCUUCGUCCGGGGGGAGGAGCUUCUUUUAAAAAAAAAUCAGAAAAAGUGGAGAGAAGUUUUGUCUGCAGUAAAAAGAGAGAAAGAGUACGAAGGAAGAGGGAGAGUGACGUGAGAAAGAGAGAGAGAGAGAGAGGAGAAAAGUAAAGAGGUGAUUUGACCCCUACUAUUCAUCAUCUUCCCCAAAUCGCUGCCCUUCCUCUGCAACUUCCAUCCGCGAGGUUUCCGCCACCGUGUGUUCGCCACAGCCACUUCGGUGGUCUCUCCACGAAGCUCGCCGCGACGACGCCGCGCCGCCGAGGUCCCCGACGCUUGAGUCCUCCUCCGCCCGAGCCCACCGUGCCGCACCCGUGAACUCGCCCGACGUCCCUGUUCGCCGCGCUGACGCUGUUCGGAGCCGAAGACCAGCGACCCGACGCUGCAAUCCAAGCUGCUCCGCCCGCGAGCCAGAACUUGAACCCGCUGUAACGCCGGAUCGCUCCGCCCACAGCCUGAUCCGACCGUGAAUCUGCCCAGCCCGGAGUCUGUUGAAGCUACCACUUUCCUCCCUGGGCCGCGCCUCCUCACGACGACCCGAAGCCCCACCGGAAUCUGCUCCACCAGCCCGACGAAGCUGCUUCUACGCCGAUCCGCGACCCCCGACGCUGCUUCCCUUUGCUCUGUCCGCGAUCCGCCCACCACGCCGCCGGAAUCCCUCUGCACCCGCGAGCUCGUCCCGACGCCACCCGCGACCUGCUGCUACCGCCGGACCGCUCGCUAUCAAUCCACUCGUUGCUGGUCCUCGCCGGAGCUCUAAACGCCGACGACCCAACCUCCGGUGAUCCACCGAAGCCGCUCAGCCGUGGGUGAAGAAAGCAGGAAAAGAAAAAAGAAAAAAAGAAAAGGAAAUGGAAAUUAGGUAGUUUUAUUUUCUUUUUCUAUUUACUUUAUUUUAUUUAUUUCUUUUAAGUUUAGGAGUGAUCUUUAUUUCAUGGAUUUUGUAGGCAUUAUCCACAGGAUCUUCCCUAAAAUUAUUGUAAUUAUUAAUUUGAU